Molecule: long non-coding RNA, 173 nt
Organism: Maniola jurtina (meadow brown)
Lineage: Eukaryota; Metazoa; Arthropoda; Insecta; Lepidoptera; Nymphalidae
Exons: 3
Source: RefSeq, a predicted model, not a curated record
AUUUUGCAUGAUAAAAAGUAGCCCAUGUCACUCUCCAGGUCUUUAACUAUGUAUAUUCAUGCAAAAAAUCAAGUUGAUCUGUUGCUCUGUUGUGGCGAGAUUAAAUAGCAAACCAACAAACCAUUAAACAUACACACUUUCGCAUUUAUAAUAUAGUUGGGAUUGGGAUGUAA